GACGGGACCGCACAAGCAGCGGAGCGUGUGGUUUAAUUCGUUGCUACACGAAGAACCUUACCAAGGCUUGACAUACACCGGUAACGCCCAGAGAUGGGUGCCCCUUUGUGGUCGGUGUACAGGUGGUGCAUGGUUGUCGUCAGCUCGUGUCGUGAGAUGUUGGGUUAAGUCCCGCAACGAGCGCAACCCUCGUCCUAUGUUGCCAGCGGGUCAUGCCGGGGACUCAUGGGAGACUGCCGGGGUCAACUCGGAGGAAGGUGGGGAUGACGUCAAAUCAUCAUGCCCCUUAUGUCUUGGGCUUCACGCAUGCUACAAUGGCCGGUACAAAGGGCUGCGAUACCGCGAGGUGGAGCGAAUCCCAGAAAGCCGGUCUCAGUUCGGAUUGGGGUCUGCAACUCGACCCCAUGAAGUCGGAGUCGCUAGUAAUCGCAGAUCAGCAACGCUGCGGUGAAUACGUUCCCGGGCCUU
Molecule: ribosomal RNA, 468 nt
Filed under: uncultured Curtobacterium sp.
Lineage: Bacteria; Bacillati; Actinomycetota; Actinomycetes; Micrococcales; Microbacteriaceae
Description: bacterial SSU rRNA
Rfam family: Bacterial small subunit ribosomal RNA
Source: RNAcentral